GAUGAACGCUGGCGGCGUGCCUAAUACAUGCAAGUCGAGCGAACAGACGAGGAGCUUGCUCCUCUGACGUUAGCGGCGGACGGGUGAGUAACACGUGGAUAACCUACCUAUAAGACUGGGAUAACUUCGGGAAACCGGAGCUAAUACCGGAUACUAUAUUGAACCGCAUGGUUCAAUAGUGAAAGACGAUUUUGCUGUCACUUGUAGAUGGAUCCGCGCCGCAUUAGCUAGUUGGUAAGGUAACGGCUUACCAAGGCAACGAUGCGUAGCCGACCUGAGAGGGUGAGCGGCCACACUGGAACUGAGACACGGUCCAGACUCCUACGGGAGGCAGCAGUAGGGAAGCUUCCGCAAUGGGCGAAAGCCUGACGGAGCAACGCCGCGUGAGUGAUGAAGGUCUUCGGAUCGUAAAACUCUGUUAUUAGGGAAGAAGAAAUGUGUAAGUAACUAUGCACGUGUUGACGGUACCUAAUCAGAAAGCCACGGCUAACUACGUG
This 497-nucleotide ribosomal RNA is filed under the name uncultured bacterium. Its description in RNAcentral is "partial 16S ribosomal RNA". It matches the Rfam family "Bacterial small subunit ribosomal RNA", at positions 28 to 507 of the family's 1533-position model. The record is from RNAcentral.